ACGAACGCUGGCGGCGUGCUUAACACAUGCAAGUCGAACGGAAAGGCUCUGCUUUUGUGGGGUGCUCGAGUGGCGAACGGGUGAGUAACACGUGAGUAACCUGCCCUUGACUUUGGGAUAACUUCAGGAAACUGGGGCUAAUACCGGAUAGGAGCUCCUGCUGCUUGGUGGGGGUUGGAAAGUUUCGGCGGUUGGGGAUGGACUCGCGGCUUAUCAGCUUGUUGGUGGGGUAGUGGCUUACCAAGGCUUUGACGGGUAGCCGGCCUGAGAGGGUGACCGGCCACAUUGGGACUGAGAUGCGGCCCAGACUCCUACGGGAGGCAGCAGUGGGGAAUAUUGCACAAUGGGCGGAAGCCUGAUGCAGCAACGCAGCGUGCGGGAUGACGGCCUUCGGGUUGUAAACCACUUUCGCCUGUGACGAAGCGUGAGUGACGGUAAUGGGUAAAGAAGCACCGGCUAACUACGUG
This 467-nucleotide ribosomal RNA is filed under the name uncultured bacterium. RNAcentral's name for it is "partial 16S ribosomal RNA". It matches the Rfam family "Bacterial small subunit ribosomal RNA", at positions 29 to 507 of the family's 1533-position model. The record is from RNAcentral.